CAAAUCAAUAAAAACUAUAGUUGAGCACCAAUGGUGUAUUUAACAUAGACAUGAUAUGAAACUGUCCAAAGUCCAAGCAAAUGAGUGAGUUUUUUUGUUCUUACUUCUUUUUCUGACACUGAUUCUUGAUCCAUUUGAAUCCGGCAGAGGUUCCACUCUUCACCUUCUGAGCACCUACCACAGCAGCUGACUUAGCUUUGUCAGCACCGACGAUUGCAACUGUUUUCGCUUUGCCCAUACUAACCGACGCCAUAGCUUUUGCAUCUGCCAUCUUGCCACUUCCGUUGCUCUUAUUAUUCUUCUUCACCAUCACAUCGUCCUCAUACUCGUCGCUGCCAAGCCCACCAUUUCCCCAUUGGUCAGACCAACUUGGUGCCUUGCUACCCAUGUUGU
Molecule: long non-coding RNA, 393 nt
Organism: Lathyrus oleraceus (garden pea)
Lineage: Eukaryota; Viridiplantae; Streptophyta; Magnoliopsida; Fabales; Fabaceae
Exons: 2
Source: RefSeq, a predicted model, not a curated record